This 468-nucleotide ribosomal RNA is filed under the name uncultured bacterium. RNAcentral describes it as "partial 16S ribosomal RNA". It matches the Rfam family "Bacterial small subunit ribosomal RNA", at positions 28 to 507 of the family's 1533-position model. The record is from RNAcentral.
GACGAACGCUGGCGGCGUGCUUAACACAUGCAAGUCGAACGGAAAGGCCCUGCUUUUGUGGGGUUCUCGAGUGGCGAACGGGUGAGUAACACGUGAGUAACCUGCCCUUGACUUUGGGAUAACUUCAGGAAACUGCGGCUAAUACCGGAUAGGAGCUCCUGCUGCAUGGUGGGGGUUGGAAAGUUUCGGCGGUUGGGGAUGGACUCGCUGCUUAUCAGCCUGUUGGUGUGGUAGUGGCUUUCCAAGGUUUUGAAGGGUAGCCGGCCUGAGAGGGCUACCGGCGACAAUGGGACUGAGGUACGGAGCAGAAUCGUAUGGGAGGCAGCAGGCGGGAAUAUUACGCAAUGGGCGGAAGCCUGAUGCAGCGACGCCGCGUGCGGAAUGACGGCUUACGGGUUGUAAACCGCUUUCGACUGUGACGAAGCGUGAGUGACGGUAAUGGGUAAGGAAGCACCGGCUAACUACGUG